GGUUGCUAUCAUACCAGCACUAAUGCACCGGAUCCCAUCAGAACUCCGCAGUUAAGCGUGCUUGGGGGAGAGUAGUACUAGGAUGGGUGACCCCCUGGGAAGUCCUCGUGUUGCAACCC
Molecule: ribosomal RNA, 119 nt
Filed under: Helianthus annuus (common sunflower)
Lineage: Eukaryota; Viridiplantae; Streptophyta; Magnoliopsida; Asterales; Asteraceae
Source: RNAcentral